CAUGGUCCGGUGAAGUGUUCGGAUCGCGGCGAUGCUGGUGGUUCGCCGCUCGUGACGUCGCGAGAAGUCCACUGAACCUUAUCAUUUAGAGGAAGGAGAAGUCGUAACAAGGUUUCCGUAGGUGAACCUGCGGAAGGAUCAUUGU
RNAcentral lists this ribosomal RNA (145 nucleotides) under Oreobolus obtusangulus. RNAcentral's name for it is "partial 18S ribosomal RNA". It matches the Rfam family "Eukaryotic small subunit ribosomal RNA", at positions 1692 to 1831 of the family's 1831-position model. The record is from RNAcentral. RNAcentral also lists the same sequence under 6 other names. Lineage: Eukaryota; Viridiplantae; Streptophyta; Magnoliopsida; Poales; Cyperaceae.